Molecule: non-coding RNA, 178 nt
Filed under: Candidatus Cloacimonadota bacterium
Lineage: Bacteria; Pseudomonadati; Candidatus Cloacimonadota
Description: 6S RNA
Rfam family: 6S / SsrS RNA
About the family: E. coli 6S RNA was the first non coding RNA to be sequenced, but its function was unknown until recently. It consists of 184 nucleotides that fold into an extended hairpin structure with a large single-stranded internal bulge. The 6S RNA specifically associates with RNA polymerase holoenzyme containing the sigma70 specificity factor.
Source: RNAcentral
AGAUGCCUGCGGAAUGCGUGAUAUGGAUUGCAUAAAAGCCAUACUCUAAGUAGGGAGUCGAGCCAUGGGUGGCAUGCGUGCCGGCUUCGUUCCGGAUACAUAAAGCCCACAAGGUAGAUUCCCACCUGCUAAACGGCUUUGUAAAAAGUCAAACAUACACGGUUCUCGUGGGCAAUUA